CUGGGGUGCUCGAGUGGCGAACGGGUGAGUAACACGUGGGUGAUCUGCCCUGCACUUCGGGAUAAGCUUGGGAAACUGGGUCUAAUACCGGAUAGGACCAUCGUUUAGUGUCGGUGGUGGAAAGUUUUUUCGGUGUGGGAUGAGCUCGCGGCCUAUCAGCUUGUUGGUGGGGUAAUGGCCUACCAAGGCGUCGACGGGUAGCCGGCCUGAGAGGGUGUACGGCCACAUUGGGACUGAGAUAAGGCCCAG
RNAcentral lists this ribosomal RNA (249 nucleotides) under uncultured Actinomycetales bacterium. RNAcentral describes it as "partial 16S ribosomal RNA". It matches the Rfam family "Bacterial small subunit ribosomal RNA", at positions 82 to 334 of the family's 1533-position model. The record is from RNAcentral. Lineage: Bacteria; Bacillati; Actinomycetota; Actinomycetes; Actinomycetales.